GGAAGGGUGGCUGAGUGGACUAUAGCACCGGUCUUGAAAACCGGCGAGCCGCAAGGCUCCGGGGGUUCGAAUCCCUCCCCUUCCG
RNAcentral lists this transfer RNA (85 nucleotides) under Verrucomicrobiota bacterium. Its description in RNAcentral is "Verrucomicrobia bacterium (groundwater metagenome) tRNA-Ser". It matches the Rfam family "tRNA". Rfam says of the family: Transfer RNA (tRNA) molecules are approximately 80 nucleotides in length. Their secondary structure includes four short double-helical elements and three loops (D, anti-codon, and T loops). RNAcentral also lists the same sequence under 2 other names. Lineage: Bacteria; Pseudomonadati; Verrucomicrobiota. The record is from RNAcentral.